Molecule: ribosomal RNA, 256 nt
Filed under: uncultured bacterium
Lineage: Bacteria
Description: partial 16S ribosomal RNA
Rfam family: Bacterial small subunit ribosomal RNA
Source: RNAcentral
UACGUAGGUGGCAAGCGUUGUCCGGAAUUAUUGGGCGUAAAGCGCGCGCAGGCGGCCUCUUAAGUCUGAUGUGAAAGCCCCCCGGCUCAACCGGGGGAGGGCCAUUGGAAACUGGGAGGCUUGAGUAUAGGAGAGAAGAGUGGAAUUCCACGUGUAGCGGUGAAAUGCGUAGAGAUGUGGAGGAACACCAGUGGCGAAGGCGACUCUUUGGCCUAUAACUGACGCUGAGGCGCGAAAGCGUGGGGGAGCAAACAGG